GAACAGGCUGCCGUAGAGGGUGAGAGCCCCGUGAAUCGCUGGAGACCGAUCAAUUAGUGCCCGCCGAAGAGUCGAGUUGUUUGGGAAUGCAGCUCUAAGUGGGUGGUAUAUUCCAUCUAAGGCUAAAUAUUAGCGAGAGACCGAUAGCAAACAAGUACAGUGAUGGAAAGAUGAAAAGAACUUUGGAAAGAGAGUGAAAUAGUACGUGAAAUUGUUGAAAGGGAAGGGUAUUUGAUCCGACAUGGUGUUUAGCAGCGGCCCGUUCCUCGUGGAUGGGUGCACCUGGUUUACACUGGGCCAGCAUCGGUUCUGGGAGCCAUAUACGGGGUUCGUGAAUGUGGCCCUUCGAUUCUGUCGGAGGGUGUUAUAGCGCGGA
RNAcentral lists this ribosomal RNA (376 nucleotides) under uncultured Dekkera. RNAcentral describes it as "eukaryotic LSU rRNA". It matches the Rfam family "Eukaryotic large subunit ribosomal RNA", at positions 193 to 575 of the family's 3401-position model. The record is from RNAcentral. Lineage: Eukaryota; Fungi; Ascomycota; Saccharomycetes; Saccharomycetales; Saccharomycetaceae.